UCCCUAUCCUUUACUUGUAAAGGGUAGCCAGUGAUGUUACACUUCCAAGAAAAGCUUGUACUCCAUUAAACAAUAGAAUCACCUGUACCUUAAACCGACACAGGUAGGUUGGUAGAGAAUACCAAGGGGCGCGAGAGAACUCUCUCUAAGGAACUCGGCAAACUGGCCCCGUAACUUCGGAAGAAGGGGCGCCUUUUUUUUAAAAAGGUUGCAGUGAUCCGGCCCAGGCGACUGUUUAUCAAAAACACAGGUCUCCGCAUAGUCGUAAGACAAUAUAUGGGGGCUGACGCCUGCCCAGUGCUGGAAGGUUAAGGAAGUUGGUUAUACUCUUUGGGUAGAAGCUGACGACCGAAGCCCCAGUGAACGGCGGUCGUAACUAUAACGAUCCUAAGGUAGCGAAAUUCAUUGCCGAGUAAGUUUCGGCCUGCACGAAUGGCGUAACGAUCUGGGCACUGUCUCAGAGAGAGACUCGGUGAAAUAGACUUGUCCCGUGAAGAUGCGGACUACCUGCACCUGGACAGAAAGACCCUAUGAAGCUUGACUGUAUCCUGGAAUUGGGUUCGGGCUUUUCUUGCGCAGCCUAGGUGGGAGGCUAUGAGGGUUCCCUUCCGGGGGAAUCGGAGCCAACAUUGAGAGACCACUCUGGAAAGGCUAGAAUCCUAAUGGUGUUCUUUGAAUCAAGACACUUGACAGUUUCAGGUGGGCAGUUUAUCUGGGGCGGAUGCCUCAUAAAGCGUAACUGAGGCGUGCAAAGGUUCCUUCAGCCUGGACGGAAAUCAGGCCUUGAGUGUAAAGGCAAAAAGGAGCUUGACUGCAAGACCUACAAAUCGAGCAGGGGCGAAAGCCGGCCUUAGUGAUCCGACGAUGCCGUGUGGAAGGGUCGUCGCUCAACGGACAAAAGUUACUCUAGGGAUAACAGGCUGAUCUUCCCCAAGAGUUCACAUCGACGGGAAGGUUUGGCACCUCGAUGUCGGCUCAUCACAUCCUGGGGCGGUAGUACGUCCCAAGGGUUGGGCUGUUCGCCCAUUAAAGUGGUACGUGAGCUGGGUUCAAAACGUCGUGAGACAGUUUGGUCCAUAUCCGGUGUAGGCGUUAGAGUAUUGAGAAGAAGCUCCUUCUAGUACGAGAGGAUCGAAGAAGCCGAGUCCAUGGUAUACCAGUUAUCAUUCCAAUGGUAAACGCUGGGUAGCUACACUCGUCGUGAUAACCGCUGACAGCAUAUAAGUGGGAAGCACUCUUCAAGAUGAGUACUCUCCGAGGCCGCAAGAAGAUAACUUGUUUGAUAGGUAUCAGGUCGAAGGGUUGUAAAAUCUGUAGCCGAGAUAUACUAAAGGCCGAUC
Molecule: ribosomal RNA, 1340 nt
Filed under: metagenome
Description: bacterial LSU rRNA
Rfam family: Bacterial large subunit ribosomal RNA
Source: RNAcentral